Molecule: ribosomal RNA, 421 nt
Filed under: uncultured bacterium
Lineage: Bacteria
Description: partial 16S ribosomal RNA
Rfam family: Bacterial small subunit ribosomal RNA
Source: RNAcentral
AAUUUUGGACAAUGGGGGCAACCCUGAUCCAGCCAUCCCGCGUGUGCGAUGAAGGCCUUCGGGUUGGAAAGCACUUUUGGCAGGGACGAAAAGGCGCCGGAUAAUACCUGGCGCCGCUGACGGUACCUGCAGAAUAAGCAACGGCUCACUCCGUGCCAGCAGCAGCGGUAAUACGCAGGGUGCAAGCGUUAAUCGGAAUUACUGGGCGUAAAGCGUGAGCAGGCGGUUCGGAAAGAAAGAUGUGAAAUCCCAGGGCUUAACCGUGGAACUGCAUUAUUAACUGCCGGGCUAGAGUAUGUAAGAGGGGGGUAGAAUUCCACUUGUAGCAGUGAAGUGCGUAGAGAUGUGGAGGAAUACCGAUGGCGAAGGCGACCACCUGGGCUAAUACUGACACUGAGGUGCGAAAGCGUGGGGAGCAAAC